CCUGUUCGAGCGUCAUUUCAACCCUCAAGCACUGCUUGGUGUUGGAUGCCAUCACUUGUGGUGCAUCCCAAAAGCAUUGGCGGCAGCGUCCAGCUUCUAGCGUAGUAAUCUUCUCGCUCUGGAGUGUGGACGCUUAGCUGCCAGAACCCUCUUUUUCAAAGGUUGACCUCGGAUCAGGUAGGGAUACCCGCUGAACUUAA
RNAcentral lists this unclassified non-coding RNA (200 nucleotides) under soil metagenome. RNAcentral describes it as "partial contains internal transcribed spacer 2 and large subunit ribosomal RNA". The record is from RNAcentral.